UGUGAUUCUGUAUUGACAAGUCGAUGUUAGUUUGAUUAUUGAUCAAAGAAGCUCAUAAUGAAAAACGUGUGAACAUAGAGCAAGAUUUCAUUUUUUUAGAUGGACACAAGGAGUCGUUGGUUGCACUCACAAGUGAAAAGGUUGACCCACUUUCCAUGCACAAGGUUUCACUAGAAUUCUAUACUUUUUGGUGUAAAUGUUGACUGAUGGAAACAAUUUUAUGAUCAACCAUGUGCUCCACAUGUCACUUGAAAACUUCUGCCAGACAACUAUGGAUAACAGGUGAAAUUCAUUGCUCAGGUUGAGGGAAGAAAGCGAGGUUGUGCUCGCUAUUCUUAUUCGAUAUGUCUUGUUCGGCAGGACUCGAAGUGUUAAUGGUGCACAAUCACUGCUGUUAAUCUGGCAAGAGGUUGAUCCAUCACGGAGAACAUGUGCUGCCAAUGAACAGUUGUACUGCCCUCUGCCAUUGAUCAGCAAACUCUGCAUCCAAGAUCAGCCUUCUCUUGCUUGAAGUGGAAGGACAAGAAGGAUGAGUGGCUUUCAUGAAGAUCACUGAUGCAACCUUUUUGCUCCCAAAAUAUAUUACUUCAAAAGUAAGCAGUGUGGACAUGACUACUGUGACUACUGUCAAACAAUGAAUAAAUGCAAAUGAUAUAAAUAAAUCUUCUAAUUUUGCAUC
Dioscorea cayenensis subsp. rotundata (Guinea yam) is the source of this 679-nucleotide long non-coding RNA. RefSeq lists it as uncharacterized. The record is from RefSeq and is a predicted model, not a curated record. NCBI's taxonomy places the organism in Eukaryota, Viridiplantae, Streptophyta, Magnoliopsida, Dioscoreales, Dioscoreaceae. The transcript has 3 exons.